Molecule: transfer RNA, 82 nt
Filed under: Nematostella vectensis (starlet sea anemone)
Lineage: Eukaryota; Metazoa; Cnidaria; Anthozoa; Actiniaria; Edwardsiidae
Description: tRNA-Ser
Rfam family: tRNA
About the family: Transfer RNA (tRNA) molecules are approximately 80 nucleotides in length. Their secondary structure includes four short double-helical elements and three loops (D, anti-codon, and T loops).
Source: Rfam by way of RNAcentral
GUUGCGGUGGCCGAGCGGUUAAGGCGUUGGACUCGAAAUCCAAUGGGAUCUUCCCGCGCAGGUUCGAAUCCUGCCCUCAACG